GACGAACCGUGCGAACGUUAUUCGGAAUCACUGGGCUUAAAGCGCGUGUAGGCGGGAGGGCACGUCCGACGUUGAAAGCCCCCGGCUCAACCGGGGAACGGGCGCGGAUACGACCUUCCUGGAGGGACGUAGGGGGACCUGGAACUUCCGGUGGAGCGGUGAAAUGCGUUGAGAUCGGAAGGAACGCCCGUGGCGAAAGCGACGUGCUGGACCUCAUCUGACGCUGAGGCGCGAAAGCCAGGGUAGCAAACAGG
This 254-nucleotide ribosomal RNA is filed under the name uncultured bacterium. RNAcentral's name for it is "partial 16S ribosomal RNA". It matches the Rfam family "Bacterial small subunit ribosomal RNA", at positions 524 to 776 of the family's 1533-position model. The record is from RNAcentral.